Molecule: ribosomal RNA, 468 nt
Filed under: uncultured bacterium
Lineage: Bacteria
Description: partial 16S ribosomal RNA
Rfam family: Bacterial small subunit ribosomal RNA
Source: RNAcentral
GACGAACGCUGGCGGCGGGCUUAACACAUGCAAGUCGAACGGAAAGGCCCUGCUUUUGUGGGGGGCUCGAGUGGCGAACGGGUGAGUAACACGUGAGUAACCUGCCCUUGACUUUGGGAUAACUUCAGGAAACUGGGGCUAAUACCGGAUAGGAGCUCCUGCUUCAUGGGGGGGGUUGGAAAGUUUCGGCGGUUGGGGAUGGACUCGCGGCUUAUCAGCUUGUUGGUGGGGUAGUGGCUUACCAAGGCUUUGAAGGGUAGCCGGCCUGAGAGGGUGACCGGCCACAUUGGGACUGAGAUACGGCCCAGACUCCUACGGGAGGCAGCAGUGGGGAAUAUUGCACAAUGGGCGGAAGCCUGAUGCAGCAACGCCGCGUGCGGGAUGACGGCCUUCGGGUUGUAAACCGCUUUCGCCUGUGACGAAGCGUGAGUGACGGUAAUGGGUAAAGAAGCACCGGCUAACUACGUG